UUGGGUGACCUGCGGAGGGAUCAUUACCGAGUUUUCUACUCUCAAACCCUGCGAACCUACCGUCAUGUGCUUCGGCGGGCCUCCCCGGGGGGGCUCAGUACGGCUCGCCGAAAGCACCAAAAUUCACUUUCCAGAGUCUUCUGAGUGGAUUACAAAAACAAGUCAAAACCUUCAACAACGGAUCUCUUGGUUCUGGCAUCGAUGAAGAACGCAGCGAAAUGCGAUACGUAAUGUGAAUUGCAGAAUUCCGUGAAUCAUCGAAUCUUUGAACGCACAUUGCACCCGGUGGUAUUCCGCCGGGUAUGCCUGUCUGAGCGUCAUUUCAACCCUCAAGCUCUGCUUGGUGUUGGCGGAUCGCCCACCGUGGCGACCGCUAAAAUUCAAUGGCGGUAGUACCCAUAACCCCUGUAGAGUAAAUAUUCUUACAGAGGGUCUACGGGCCUCACCAGCCUCGAACCCACCAAAACAUGAAAGUUGACCUCAGAUCAGGUAGGAAUACCCGCUGAACUUAAGCAUAUCAAUAAGCGGAGGA
RNAcentral lists this ribosomal RNA (532 nucleotides) under uncultured Hypocreales. RNAcentral describes it as "eukaryotic LSU rRNA". The stretch from base 167 to 320 matches the Rfam family "5.8S ribosomal RNA". The record is from RNAcentral. Lineage: Eukaryota; Fungi; Ascomycota; Sordariomycetes; Hypocreales.